RNAcentral lists this microRNA (19 nucleotides) under Homo sapiens (human). RNAcentral's name for it is "hsa-miR-3180". Lineage: Eukaryota; Metazoa; Chordata; Mammalia; Primates; Hominidae. The record is from miRBase by way of RNAcentral.
UGGGGCGGAGCUUCCGGAG